RNAcentral lists this small RNA (98 nucleotides) under Lasiodiplodia theobromae. RNAcentral describes it as "internal transcribed 2". The record is from RNAcentral. Lineage: Eukaryota; Fungi; Ascomycota; Dothideomycetes; Botryosphaeriales; Botryosphaeriaceae.
CAACCCUCAAGCUCUGCUUGGAAUUGGGCACCGUCCUCACUGCGGACGCGCCUCAAAGACCUCGGCGGUGGCUGUUCAGCCCUCAAGCGUAGUAGAAU